Molecule: non-coding RNA, 230 nt
Filed under: Actibacterium atlanticum
Lineage: Bacteria; Pseudomonadati; Pseudomonadota; Alphaproteobacteria; Rhodobacterales; Roseobacteraceae
Description: Ruegeria cis90 sRNA
Rfam family: Ruegeria cis90 sRNA
About the family: Cis-encoded. Targets ABC transporter.
Source: Rfam by way of RNAcentral
AGGUGCUGGCAACCAGCGGCUCUUUGAAGUUGGCCUGCUGCAUCGGGUCAAAGUAGCCACCCGGGUUGCCCGCCAUCCACGUAUAGGUGCGGGUCGAGCUGAGCCACUGUAGGAACAGAUACACCGCCUCGGGAUAGUCCGACUUGGACGAAAUCCACGCGGUGAUGUGAUAGUACAGCACCGAACGGCGGUUGAUCUGAUCGCCAAACUGACGGCCCACCGGCAGGUGG